UACGGGGGGAGCAAGCGUUGUUCGGAUUCACUGGGCGUAAAGGGUGCGUAGGCGGUUGGGUAAGUCUGUCGUGAAAUCUCCGAGCCUAACUCGGAAACUGCGUCGGAUACUAUUCAACUCGAGGAAUGGAGGGGAGACUGGAAUUCUCGGUGUAGCAGUGAAAUGCGUAGAUAUCGAGAGGAACACCAGUGGCGAAGGCGAGUCUCUGGACAUUUCCUGACGCUGAGGCACGAAAGCCAGGGGAGCAAACGGG
Molecule: ribosomal RNA, 253 nt
Filed under: uncultured bacterium
Lineage: Bacteria
Description: partial 16S ribosomal RNA
Rfam family: Bacterial small subunit ribosomal RNA
Source: RNAcentral